Molecule: ribosomal RNA, 407 nt
Filed under: uncultured microorganism
Description: bacterial SSU rRNA
Rfam family: Bacterial small subunit ribosomal RNA
Source: RNAcentral
CAGCCGCCGCGGUAAUACGUAGGUGGCAAGCGUUGUCCGGAAUCAUUGGGCGUAAAGCGCGCGCAGGCGGUCCUUUAAGUCUGAUGUGAAAUCUUGCGGCUCAACCGUAAGCGGUCAUUGGAAACUGGGGGACUUGAGUGCAGGAGAGGAAAGCGGAAUUCCAUGUGUAGCGGUGAAAUGCGUAGAUAUCGGGAGGAACACCAGUGGCGAAGGCGGCCUCCUGGCCCGUUCCUGACGCUGAGACCCGAAAGCGUGGGGAGCAAACCGGAUUAGAUCCCCGGGUAGUCCACGCCGUAAACGGUGGGCACUAGGUGUGGGGGGUUAAUCCCUCCGUGCCGAAGCUAACGCAUUAAGUGCCCCGCCUGGGGAGUACGGCCGCAAGGUUGAAACUUAAAGGAAUUGGCGGG